Microplitis mediator is the source of this 7400-nucleotide RNA transcript. It is a transcript of the gene named serine-rich adhesin for platelets-like, with no coding region annotated. The record is from RefSeq and is a predicted model, not a curated record. NCBI's taxonomy places the organism in Eukaryota, Metazoa, Arthropoda, Insecta, Hymenoptera, Braconidae. The transcript is spliced from 8 exons.
AUUUAAUUAUAUAAAUAUACAUAUACUAUACAAAACAAUUCAAAAUGGCGGUUUCUCUCCACAGUGUCCACAAGAGUGCAAGCAUUGUCAAUUGAACCAUUGACUAGAGCGUUGAGGAAUGGAAGAAAAAGAAGAAGGUGAAAUUUCAUUAGAAGAUGUAAGUUCGUCGGAAGAUUUAAAUUUAAAUAAUCAUCGAAAAAAAAAAUCCAGAUCACAUAAAAAUAAAUCAUCUAAAACUAAAAUGGGUGAUAGACGAGUCGAAGUUGAUAUUCCUUCUCAAGAUGCAGCUUGCGGUAAGGAAAAUCGUCAAUGUUCCAACGGAUUCGUUGCACCAGAUCAUAGGAUAAUCAUUAAACGAGAAGAUUCGAAAGAUGGGUUUUUACCAAUAUCUAGUGAUGAAGAUACAGAACUUAUCAGUAUGCCUGGAAGCUCAAAACAAUAUCUUAUCAGAACAGGGCAGAAAAAAAGACGAAAAAAAAAAAAGAAAAAAACUGCAGGAGCAAGAAUGCUAACAAUGGAUGAUUUAGAAUCAGAUGUAGUUGUUGGUGUACGACUUCCAGAUGACAGAGAUCUUAUUCCACCACCAAGAAUUUAUAAUGCACCACCUGUAAUUUACAGCGAUACGCGUGAAUCGACAACUCAUCAAUCUUGUUUUCAACCUUCCCAAUCUUCAAGACAACAUUAUCGUUCUCCAAUUAAAUCAUCAUAUAGAUCUCCAGUUCAUCAUUCGCGUUCACCAUCACCUCGUCGAAGAUCACCCCGUAGAUUUUUACCACCUGCUAAACCAUCAACUUCUUCAUUACCUCCUAAACAUUGUCCACACAAAGUUUCACCAGCUAGACGUUAUAAUGAAACAUACAAUUCAUCUUUAUUGAAAAAAGUUAAAGAAUAUGAUACUACAGCAAUUACUCCAGCAAGACAAAAUCGACAUAAAGAAUGUUCAUUGAAGGACAAGUUAAGUAAUAUGGGUAAAUUACAUUCAGAUUCAAAAGGAAGUGAUAAUAAUAAUCGUAAAGAAAUAAAUGAAAUAAAAAAAGACAUUGAUGAGGAAGAUAUUGACACUCUACGGCGUCUUGCUCUGGAUACACAACAUUCUAAAUGUGAUGAUGAGCAACAAAUAAACCAUGACGAUAAUUCAGCAGGAUCUGAUGACACGCCAACUCUUUCUUUCAAUAGUAAUGAUCACAAUGUUGAAGAAUUACAAUUACGUGCUGAUGCACUUAGGACUGCGGUAAUAAAUAAAUUUAAUGAAAGAAAAAAGAAGGGAUUAAUAAGAAAACGAGAUAAAGAAGUGAAAACUGAAGUUACUUAUGAUGAUAGUCUGUUGAACGAUGUAAUAGAUAAUUGUGAAGAAAUAUAUUCACCUGCAGUUUCAACUGCACAUAACGGAGGUAGUGAUAUUGCUGACAUGGAAUUAGACUCUGAUUUAGAACGGGAGAAAAUAAAUUCUCAACCUUAUUCUCCUUAUUCACCAACAGAUGUAAUAUUAGGAGAUACAUUUGUUAAUGGAUAUUCAAAUGAUUUAGAAGACAAUAAAAAUGGAAUUAUUGAUCUUGAAACUCCUUAUUCACCAUCUGAUCCAACAGAUAUAUUAGCUAACAAAUUUUCACCAAUUACUAAAUUUAAUUAUCCUACUCCCGAAAUAAAUUUCACAAUACCCGUAAUUCCCGAUCCUAAAAAAUCUUAUUUACCAGCUUCUAAUCCUACUAUCCAUAAUAUAGAAUCAUCUAUAUCUCCUUCAAGUGUUCCAAUUAUCAAUAGUUCAAUAAUACCUACUACUUCAAAUGAUCCAACAAACAACAAUAUACGUUCAGCGUUUAAUGAUUCACGUACAAUGCAUCCAAAUGCACUUAUUUCUAAUCAAAGUAUAUCAAAUAAUCUAUCAGUGCCAUUAGAACAAAUAAAUUCAUCAUUAUCAGUGAAUUUAACUCAUUCUUAUCAAGUAUUAUCUCCACUUCAAAGCUCAAUAAUUCCAAAUACAUUAGAAUCAAUUCAACGACCGGAUAAGGUAAUAAAUUCAUCAAUUCGUGGAGCUAAGAAAAAAGAUGAACUAUAUGAUGAAGUUAUUCGUGAUCUUGAAGAAGACUAUGGUCCUAUUUGCCGUGAUGAUACUUCUGAUAGCAACAAAGAUACAAAUAAAAUGUCUACACAAGUUAAUAAGUUGGUACCAGUCCCAAUUUUGAGAAUAAACAAACAUUUGCAACAACCAUUACCACCGAAAAAAAUUGAUAAUAAUCCGGUAAAAGUAUUUAAAAGCGCAGAAAUGCAACCUGUUGAUGUUAAUAAUCAAUCUGUUAAAACUAAUGCCACAUUUAAACCAAUUAAAAUUCCACAGGUUGUUAAAAAACCAUUAGCAUCAACUUCUGCAGAAGCUUUUAACAGUUCUUUAAAUGAUGAUACAAGUAUUGAAUUGCCAAGUGAACAAAGUAAUGUUAGAACAACUCAAAGUUUAAAAAUUUCUGAUGAACCAUCAAAUGGUACUAAUGCGGACAAAGAAUUAGAAACGGUAGUAGAUCAAUCUAAAAGAAAACCUGGAAGGCCUAAAACACCAGCUAAGAAAAGUAUAACUACAAAAAAGACUAUUAAUGCUACGUAUGCUACGACCACUAGUACUACUUCAAUUUCAUCUAAUAAAAUAAAAUCUUUGAAUGAUAGAAACUUCAAUAAAAAAUAUUCCAAAGAUAGUGACAGUUCAAAAAAAGAACAAACAAAUAAUAUUAAAAUUAAUGAAGAGUCGAAAAAAUCAGAUUCAAUAACAAAACGUUUGACAAGUAGUAAUAAAUUAGAUAAAAAAUCCGAUGAAAAUUCCAAAGAUAAUCUUUUAAAUAAAACUAAUGAAGUUAUAAAACAAAAGAAAGAUAACUCUAAUAAUAAAGUUUCGAAAGUUAAAAAUAUAAAAAAAUUAGGAACUUCAUCUACAAAAGAAACUAGUAAAAGUUUAGAUACUGAUAAAUCUUUAAGUGGAAAAAAAUCUAAUGAUAAAAAACGGCGAUCAAGUUUUGAAGAAGAAGAAUUGCGGGCAUUAGCAUUAGCAUCAUUACCAAAACGACUUAAAUUAUCUGAAUCUUCGAGUUCAAACAAUAAAGAAUCGGAGUCUACUAAAGACGUAUCAAAAGAUAAACUUAUAUCAGAAAAAAUAAAUGAAACUAUUGUUAAAAUAUCAGCAACCAAUAAUUUACCUACGACAAAUACGAUACAAAAUCGUGAAAAACAAAUAAGUUCGAAGAUUAAUGUACCAUCUGAUAAGAUAUUAAAUGAACCAGUUCCAGUUAGUAAACGUCCAAGCACAACAAAUAUUCAAGCUCCACUUAAGAAAAUAAUUAAAAAAUCAAUUCAACCAACUGACAAAUCUACUGCUGAAUCUAUUCAAAGCACAAUAGAUUCAGUGAUACAAAAUAAAAUAGUUCAUAACCAAAAGAAAAUAGCUUCAUUACUGCAACAGACUAAUAUCUUUAAAAACAAUACGAAGAUCAAUGAUCCAGUUGAGUUACCGACUUCGAAAAUAACAUCAUCAAAGAAAAUACAACGAAUGGUGAUAAAUCUUGGUGAAGAUUCAGAUACUGAUACUGAUUCAGAAACAACAUCAAUGACAACAUCAAAACCAAGUAACUUUAAAACUCCUACUACAAAUGCUACUAAACCUUUAUCUAUACCUACUACAGAAUUUGAAAAAAGUCUCGAGGAAUUUUUACGAUCACAAAGAGAAAAAACAGAGGCUACUGCGUCAAAAUCAUCGAGUUCUACAUCCAAUAAGACAUCAGAUCUUAAUAAAACACCACAAGCUAUGCGUCAUUUACCACCCAAUAAGCAGGAAGAAUAUCGACGUCUUAAACAGCGAGUCGCAGAACUAGAAAAAACAAAAAAUCUUACCAAUGAAAAACGAUCGCAAAAUGUCGAAAAGUCUGCACCUGUUGUUAAACCUACAGAAUCAAUUUGUUCUACAAAGAAUCAGCCAAAAAAAGCUUUAAAAACUUCGGUAUCUCAAAAAACUUCAGCAACUGUAACUGUUUCUACUUCUUCUACUACUAAAUUGUCUACUUCAAUAACUAAUAAUAAAUUAUCAAGUAAUUCAAGUGAUUCAUCAUCGAAAAAUGAAGAGAAUCGAUUAAAAAUAAUUGCCAAUUGUACUCAAGAACUUCUUAAAAACAUUCCCAGAGCGAGUUCUAAAAUUCAUUCUUCAUUCAAGGCUAAUGAUGAUGUUAAUGAUGCGACUGUUGAUAAUUUAACAGAUCAAACAAUUGCUCAAACUCUAGAUAUAAAACCUAAUACUGCAGAACUUACUAGUAGUAUAACUGAAACUGUUACUAGUACAGCUAGUAAUGAUUUAUUCGAAUAUAUUAAUCAUUUGAAUGAUCCUAUGUCAGAAUCAUUUACUUUCGAAGAACAAAAAAUUGAUCCAAAUAUUAUUGCGAGUGUUUUUGAAACACCUGUCGUGCCAUCUAAUGUUAUAAAUUGGCCGACAAUGAUUACGGAAAAUUCAUCAGUCAAUAAUACUUUAGAAAAAAUUGUUAUUCAAAUUUCAAACACUCGUGAUGUUGGUUUACCACAACGUAGACAAGUAAGUAUUAUUAAAAAAGACAAGGAUCAAUCAGAAGAAGUAAAUUCUCCAAAAAUUCCUGCGCCAUUCCUAAGAAUUUUAACGGCUGAUCAGUUGAAUAUGCGAGCUAAUAAUGUACAAGAAACUGAUCAAGAACAAGAAAAUGCUGUACUCAAUGAUAAUAAUAACAGAAUUGAUAUUAGUGAACCACAAAUAAUUAAUAAUAAUAAUACUAAUCUAUUUAUGAAUUGUGAUGAUAAUAAUUUAGUUGAUGAUAUAACGAUUGAAGAAACUAAAAUAGAUAUAAAUAUUGAGGCUGAAGAAAGAUUGAUUUUAACUAACGAAUCAAACGAAAAUUUAGAAUCAUCUUCAAUAACUAUUGCUCCUAAAAAUGAGUCGGUAAAUUCUGAUUCAAAUAGUUUAUUAGAGUCAACUAUUAGAUUAGAUUAUUUACAAUUAGAAAAUCAAGAAGUUACAGAAGCAUCAUCAGUUAAUGAAAAUCAUAAUCGAAUAUUAUCGGUACAAGAACAAGUAGACAAAAUGGAUGCUGAAGUUAGAGUUGAAGUUGAACAAUAUAAAAAUCUUCCUUCAGAACAACAACGAAUUAAACUGACAACGAUGGAAAAGGAACUAUCUGAGAAAAGACAAAUACGAUUGGAUGCAUAUAACCGUUUGGCUAAUGGUCUACACGAACUUGAAGUUGAACGUGAAGUUCAAUCACAAUUGUCUGCUGAAGUAAAAAGAUUGCGUUCAGAAUUAAAGUUAGCUGAAGAGCGAUUGAAAACACAACAAGACAAAGUAUCUAGUACGACAUCGGAAGUACUGAGUAAUCAAACUGCAGUUAAUAAUCGAAGACUUGAGUGUAUUAAACAUUCACGUAUUUGUACUGAAAUGGGAUUAUUUAUUAUAGGAAAAGAAUACAAAGUACCACCUGCUGGAAAUCAAUCAUCAUUGGAAGCAGUUCAAGAAGUUGCAAGUCGUAUAAAAAGAUUAGCUAAGAAAAAAGUUCCGUCGGGUGACAAUAAUAGUAAUCAACAGUCUACUGAUAAAACGUCAGAAACAUCAAUAGAUAAUUCAAAUAAUGAUAGAUCAGAUGCUCAAAUUCAGUUAGAUCAAACUAAUAUAAUAAUAAAUGAACAAAAUUCAAAUGAUAAUACUACAUCAUCUGAACAAUCAACUUCAAUAAAAACUGAAAAUUUUGAUAGUCAAGAAUUGUUAGAACCAUUGCCAAUUAAUUCUGAUACAUCACAAAAUUUAGUGAUCAAUCAAGAAGACUCGACUACUGUGAGUGCAGCUAAUACAGAUUGUCAAUCAUCCAUCAAUGAUUCGGUAACUAUUAAAAUUGAAGAUCCUACUGACGAAAAAUUAGAAACGGCUUCGACCAAGUCUGCAUCGAGUUCAAAAUCUGUUAAAAAUAAAUCUAAAGAAAAAAACAAUGAUAAAGAUACUUAUGAUAGUAAUAUAAAUUAUGAAGAGAUGCCUAUUAAACAAGAGAUUAUAGAUAUUGAAUUAGAAUCGCUACCAGUUGAUUCUGAAUCGAAUAUAUCUUAUCCAAAUUUAGAAAAUGAAUUGAAUCAAAUAGAAAUGAAUUUUAUUGCUAAAGAUGAAGUAGACAAAGAACUGGAUGAUUAUAAUGAACUUGAGUCUCGUUUAACUCCAAUUGAUCCAACACUACCUGAAGAAUCGUGUCCAAAUGAAUCGACUACUACAAAUUUGAUACAAGAAAAUAUAGACUCUAUUCAACCCAAGACUGAAGAAAAAAUUGAUCCUUCAAUUGAUACUACAUUACCAGUAUUUUCUAAUACACCUGUUCAAAACUCUUCAUUAAUUCGGCCAACUGUACGUACUGCUCAAUUUAGUGCUUCCCUUAGCAAUACUAUGGAGUUUGAUGAGACAAAACCUGAAGUAAAUAUUGAAAGUCCAUCAAAGACGCGGGUAAAUUGUUUACCAGGUAGACGUAAAGACAAUGAUAAAAAUAAACCAGCACAACCAGUACAAUCUUAUGAGUCAAUUUUACCAGCAUUUAACCCAACUAGAAACUUGGAUCCAAACGCAGUUUUGUGUCCUUACGAAUUAAAAGGAACGUGUAAGGACGACGCUUGUAUAUACGCUCAUCUUAAUCGCAGACCCACAUCGUAGCAUUUAACGCUACAAAUAUGAGAGAUUUCAACUAUUUUUUGAUACGUAAGAUGGUUCUAUAGUCUAACUAAUAUGAAGAAUCUGUAAUUUAUUUUUAUAAUAUUUUGAUGAACAUCUUUCUUGAAGUAUAUUCAAUACAUUAGUGAAUUUAAUUAUAGAAGAUAAUAAUUUUGUACUUGAUAAUCCAGCGAUACCGAUUCUGGACCGAUUAUCUAUCAGUCUGCGGAUGGUAAGUUGUCUUUUUCAGGAACAAACAAACAAACAAACAAACAAAAACAAAGUUGAUCGGAUUAUUUUUAUCAGAAUUAUAUUCAGUGAAUAUUAACUCAUAUUUAAAGAUUAAGAAAAAAAAAUUAUUUUUGUUUUAUAUAAUUUUUUUUAGUUAUUUUUCAAACGUGCUCAUUAUUGAUGAUGAAAUUUUUUUUUUUAUUUCACGAAGAUGUGAAAAGAGCUUUUAUAUAAAACGUUCGUGCAUAUUAUAUAUAGUUUAUAAAACAACGUAAAUAUUAACAUAAGAAGUAUCAGAGAUAAAGUGUAUAAAAAUAUUUAAAAAUUUUAAGUUACAUGAAUAAUCUAAAGAUCUAAGUAUAUCGAUAAAUAUCAACUUAAUUAGACUCGUUGGAAUAAAAUAGUGUUUUUGGAUAGUGUAAAUAUAUAACGUAUAUACCUCAUAAAAAUACACGUUCUGUACCUGUGUAAUAAAGUUGAAUAUUUUUUUUUUAAU